GCAAUAGCGUAUAUUAAAGUUGUUGCAGUUAAAAAGCCCGUAGUUGAAUUUCGGGGUUAGUAGGUUGGUCAUGCCUCUGGUAUGUACUGGUCUCACUGAUUACUCCUUCCUGAUGAGCCGUAAAGCCAUUAAUUUGGGGUUGCGGGGAACUUGGACUGUUACUUUGAAAAAAUUAGAGUGUUUAAAGCAAGCUAACGCUUGAAUAAAUUAGGAUGGUAUAAUGAAAUAGGACGUUCGAUCCUAUUUUGUUGGUUUCUAGGAUUGACGUAAUGAUUAAUAGGGAUAGUUGGGGGCAUUAGUAUUCAAUUGUCAGAGGUGAAAUUCUUGGAUUUAUUGAAGACUAACUACUGCGAAAGCAUUUGCCAAGGAUGUUUUCAUUAAUCAAGAACGAAAGUUAGGUGAUCGAAGACGAUCAGAUACCGUCGUAGUCUUAACCAUAAACUAUGCCGACUAGGGAUCGGAUGAUGUUAAUUUUUUAAUGACUCAUUCGGCGCCUUACG
Molecule: ribosomal RNA, 500 nt
Filed under: uncultured Glomeromycotina
Lineage: Eukaryota; Fungi; Glomeromycota
Description: partial small subunit ribosomal RNA
Rfam family: Eukaryotic small subunit ribosomal RNA
Source: RNAcentral